Molecule: ribosomal RNA, 253 nt
Filed under: uncultured bacterium
Lineage: Bacteria
Description: partial 16S ribosomal RNA
Rfam family: Bacterial small subunit ribosomal RNA
Source: RNAcentral
UACGUAAAGUGCAAGCGUUGUCCGGAAUUAUUGGGCGUAAAGAGCUCGUAAACGGUCUGUCACGUCGGCUGUGAAAACUCAGGGCUCAACCCCGAGCCUGCAGUCGAUACGGGCAGACUAGAGUCCGGCAGGAGAGACUGGAAUUCCUGGUGUAGCGGUGAAAUGCGCAGAUAUCAAGAGGAACACCGGUGGCGAAGGCGGGUCUCUGGGCUGUAACUGACGCUGAGGAGCGAAAGCAUGGGGAGCGAACAGG